CAGCCGCCACGGUAAUACGGUGGAUGCAAGCGUUAUCCGGAAUCAUUGGGCGUAAAGGGUCCUGAGGUGGUUUGCCCAGUCUACUGUGAAAGAUCAGGGCUCAACCCUGAAAAUGCGGUGGAAACUAGCAGGCUAGAAUACGGUAGGGGCAGGGGGAAUUCCCGGUGUAGCGGUGAAAUGCAUAGAUAUCGGGAAGAACACCAAUGGCGAAAGCACCCUGCUGGGCCGAUAUUGACACUGACAGACGAAAGCUAGGGGAGAAAAUUGGAUUAGAUACCCCAGUAGUCCCUGUCUCUUAUAC
Molecule: ribosomal RNA, 301 nt
Filed under: uncultured bacterium
Lineage: Bacteria
Description: partial 16S ribosomal RNA
Rfam family: Bacterial small subunit ribosomal RNA
Source: RNAcentral